This 505-nucleotide ribosomal RNA is filed under the name uncultured bacterium. RNAcentral's name for it is "partial 16S ribosomal RNA". It matches the Rfam family "Bacterial small subunit ribosomal RNA", at positions 28 to 507 of the family's 1533-position model. The record is from RNAcentral.
GACGAACGCUGGCGGCGUGCCUAAUACAUGCAAGUAGAACGCACAGUUUAUACCGUAGCUUGCUACACCAUAAACUGUGAGUUGCGAACGGGUGAGUAACGCGUAGGUAACCUGCCUGGUAGCGGGGGAUAACUAUUGGAAACGAUAGCUAAUACCGCAUAAUAUUGAUUAUUGCAUGAUAAUUGAUUGAAAGAUGCUAUUGCAUCACUACCAGAUGGACCUGCGUUGUAUUAGCUAGUAGGUGAGGUAACGGCUCACCUAGGCGACGAUACAUAGCCGACCUGAGAGGGUGAUCGGCCACCCUGGGACUGAGACACGGCCCAGACUCCUACGGGAGGCAGCAGUAGGGAAUCUUCGGCAAUGGACGAAAGUCUGACCGAGCAACGCCGCGUGAGUGAAGAAGGUUGUCGGAUCGUAAAGCUCUGUUGUAAGAGAAGAACGGGUGUGAGAGUGGAAAGUUCACACUGUGACGGUAUCUGACCAGAAAGGGACGGCUAACUACGUG